CACAGGAGCCCAGCCCUGGACUCCCAGCUCAGCCCACUCAGUGACCAGGACUGAACACAGCUGCUCACCAUGGAGAGUGUGCUCAGCUGGGUUUUCCUGGUGGCUGUUUUCAAAGGUGUCCAGUGUGAGGUGCAGCUGGUGGAGUCUGGGGGAGGCCUGGUGCAGCCUGUGGGUUCCCUGCAAGUCUCCUAUGCAGUCUCUGGAUUCACCUUCAGUAGCUAUGGGAUGAACUGGAUCCACCAGGCUCCUGGGGAGGGGCUGGAGUGGGUUGGGCAAAUUUACCCAGGUAGUGGUAGCAUGUACUACCCAGACUCUGUGAAGGUCAUCUCCACUGAUAACUCCAAGAACAUGCUGUACCUGCAAAUGAGCAGUCUGAGAGUAGAGUACACAGCAACCUAUUACUGUGCCAGAGACAGAUUGAAGGGACCUCAGUGUGAGGCCUGACACAAACCUUUUUGCAGCAUGCCCAGGGCCAGUAGUGGGUGCUCAGCA
Marmota monax (woodchuck) is the source of this 492-nucleotide non-coding RNA. The record is from the annotation of a RefSeq genome assembly. Lineage: Eukaryota; Metazoa; Chordata; Mammalia; Rodentia; Sciuridae.